AUGGCGCAGCCGCCUCCUCCCCUUCUGCCCUGCUCUCCACCGCGCCGUCUCUUCCUCCCCUUCACUGUUCUCUGCAGCGGCGGCAAAGAUCUGGCGGCAAAGGGAGACGACGAGGGCGCUCGAUCCGAUCUGCUGAAGAGAAAAGAUGAGAGGGAGAGAGAUCACCGGAAGGAGUGCCGCCGGCUCGUCGUCUUUCAUACCUACGCACGCAGCUGCCAGCUGCAGGGGUGUUGCGAGGAGUUAGAGGUUGUGCGCCGGCCGGAGCAGCAGGAGCAAGGAUAUGGCCGCCUCUCUUCUCUGCCACGGUUCCCUCCUCUUCCUUCAGCUCUCGAGAUGUCGACCUGCAGGCAAACCAUUGUUUGA
This 363-nucleotide ribosomal RNA is filed under the name Triticum aestivum (bread wheat). Its description in RNAcentral is "partial small subunit ribosomal RNA". The record is from RNAcentral. Lineage: Eukaryota; Viridiplantae; Streptophyta; Magnoliopsida; Poales; Poaceae.